AUUAUGUGUUCAGCACCAAGGACAGGUAUGUUUACCUGUGUGUGGAUGGUGUUUUGCACCAAUAACAGAUGUGUAAAGUA
This 80-nucleotide microRNA precursor is filed under the name Branchiostoma floridae (Florida lancelet). RNAcentral's name for it is "mir-2060 microRNA precursor family". It matches the Rfam family "mir-2060 microRNA precursor family". The record is from Rfam by way of RNAcentral. Lineage: Eukaryota; Metazoa; Chordata; Leptocardii; Amphioxiformes; Branchiostomatidae.